Ruditapes philippinarum (Manila clam) is the source of this 364-nucleotide long non-coding RNA. RefSeq lists it as uncharacterized. The transcript is spliced from 4 exons. NCBI's taxonomy places the organism in Eukaryota, Metazoa, Mollusca, Bivalvia, Venerida, Veneridae. The record is from RefSeq and is a predicted model, not a curated record.
UUUAGUGACAAUACAACAACAACAACUACUACAACACCGAAGCCUACGUUAAAGCCGACUAAUAGUCCACCAGAUCUUCCUGAUGUUGGAGAAUCAGAAAAAGAACAUAAAAGCAGUUUGACAAUAUUCUUUAUUCUACUUGUCAUAGCAAUAUGUAUCCUGAUGACACAUAUGCUGCUACAGACAAAGUUCCACUACCUGCCGGAAAGUAUUGCUGUUGUAUUAGUUGGUGCCUUGAUUGGACUAGUUCUCAAGAUUUUCAAAUUUGGAAAUUGGAGUAAAGAAGAGGCGUUUCCACCAACUAUAUUCUUCAUUGUUUUGUUGCCACCUAUUAUAUUUGAAUCAGGAUAUAAUCUUCACAAGG